CUCCUCAGUAAUUCUGCUGCCUCUAGCAGAUCUUGGCUGGGCUUGGAAGCGAAGCAAGUUCAGGCUUGGUUAGAACAUAGAUGGGAGACCACCUGGGAAUUCCACUUGCUGUAGGAGU
RNAcentral lists this ribosomal RNA (118 nucleotides) under Salvator merianae (Argentine black and white tegu). The record is from RNAcentral. Lineage: Eukaryota; Metazoa; Chordata; Lepidosauria; Squamata; Teiidae.